Molecule: long non-coding RNA, 663 nt
Organism: Erinaceus europaeus (western European hedgehog)
Lineage: Eukaryota; Metazoa; Chordata; Mammalia; Eulipotyphla; Erinaceidae
Exons: 2
Source: RefSeq, a predicted model, not a curated record
UGCUGGGGUGGCCAAGUGGCCAGAGGCCAGGCCUGUGGGCUAAGGGCAGGAGCUGAGGAGCAGAGGUCUGGCUGCUGGGCUCCCUGUGUGGGUGCUGAGGGUGCCACAGAGGCAGCACUCCCCAAGCCCCGGUGCUGUGCUGACCUCAGGCCAGGGCCGGUGUGCUGAGACCCACCCUCCAGCCAGAGCUCCCCCUUCUCCACUCCCUUGGGAGCGCAACCCCCUCUCCCCCCGGGGAUCCAGGAGAGCGUGUGGGCACCCACGGGCAUGGGGGAGGGGCCUGCAAGCACUGGCCCACCCCCCCUUAUCUUGCCCCCGGGCUCCCUGCAGAGCUGCCCCUCUCAGGGCUGCCAGAGGAGCAGGUGACACCCAGCACCUCAGUCCAGCUGCCUCCUGGGGCAGUGGGCAGCUGGCUAUGGUGAGGGGGCAGACCCCAUGGAGGUGAGGAGCAGGUCCCAUGGAGGUGAGGCACAGACCCCAUGGAGGUGAGGAGCAGACCCCAUGGAGGUGAGGAGCAGCUCCCAUGAAGGUGAGGAGCAGACCCCGUGGAGGUGAGGAGCAGACCCCGUGGAGGUGAGGAGCAGACCCCGUGGAGGUGAGGAGCAGACCCCGUGGAGGUGAGGAGCAGACCCCGUGGAGGUGAGGAGCAGACCCCGUGGAGGU